Molecule: ribosomal RNA, 301 nt
Filed under: uncultured bacterium
Lineage: Bacteria
Description: partial 16S ribosomal RNA
Rfam family: Bacterial small subunit ribosomal RNA
Source: RNAcentral
CAGUCGCCGCGGGAAUACAGAGGGUGCGAGCGUUAAUCGGAUUUACUGGGCGUAAAGCGUGCGUAGGCGGCUUUUUAAGUCGGAUGUGAAAUCCCUGAGCUUAACUUAGGAAUUGCAUUCGAUACUGGGAAGCUAGAGUAUGGGAGAGGAUGGUAGAAUUCCAGGUGUAGCGGUGAAAUGCGUAGAGAUCUGGAGGAAUACCGAUGGCGAAGGCAGCCAUCUGGCCUAAUACUGACGCUGAGGUACGAAAGCAUGGGGAGCAAACAGGAUUAGAUACCCCGGUAGUCCCUGUCUCUUAUAA